RNAcentral lists this ribosomal RNA (495 nucleotides) under uncultured bacterium. RNAcentral describes it as "partial 16S ribosomal RNA". It matches the Rfam family "Bacterial small subunit ribosomal RNA", at positions 28 to 507 of the family's 1533-position model. The record is from RNAcentral.
GACGAACGCUGGCGGCGUGCCUAAUACAUGCAAGUAGAACGCUGAAGGAGGAGCUUGCUUCUCUGGAUGAGUUGCGAACGGGUGAGUAACGCGUAGGUAACCUGCCUGGUAGCGGGGGAUAACUAUUGGAAACGAUAGCUAAUACCGCAUAAUAGCAGUUGUUGCAUGACAACUGUUUGAAAGGUGCAAUUGCACCACUACCAGAUGGACCUGCGUUGUAUUAGCUAGUUGGUGGGGUAACGGCUCACCAAGGCGACGAUACAUAGCCGACCUGAGAGGGUGAUCGGCCACACUGGGACUGAGACACGGCCCAGACUCCUACGGGAGGCAGCAGUAGGGAAUCUUCGGCAAUGGACGGAAGCCUGACCGAGCAACGCCGCGUGAGUGAAGAAGGUUUUCGGAUCGUAAAGCUCUGUUGUAAGAGAAGAACGAGUGUGAGAGUGGAAAGUUCACACUGUGACGGUAUCUUACCAGAAAGGGACGGCUAACUACGUG